CCACCACCAAAGCAUUUGCUGUACCGCGUUGACGGAGCGAAGCGACGUCAAACCGAUAAAACAGCAGUGUAAAGUGAGCCGCAGGGCGCUUUGCGCGACAGCGCAAAGGCAGGCGGUUUCGCGUAGCGAAAGCGAAUGCUUUGGGGUGGGGUGACUGCGUACCUUUUGUAUAAUGGGUCAGCGACUUAUAUUCUGUAGCAAGGUUAACCGAAUAGGGGAGCCGGAGGGAAACCGAGUCUUAAUUGGGCGUUAAGUUGCAGGGUAUAGACCCGAAACCCGGUGAUCUAGCCAUGGGCAGGUUGAAGGUUGGGUAACACUAACUGGAGGACCGAACCGACUAAUGUUGAAAAAUUAGCGGAUGACCUGUGGCUGGGGGUGAAAGGCCAAUCAAACCGGGAGAUAGCUGGUUCUCCCCGAAAGCUAUUUAGGUAGCGCCUCGUGAAUUCAUCUCCGGGGGUAGAGCACUGUUUCGGCUAGGGGGCCAUCCCGGCUUACCAACCCGAUGCAAACUGCGAAUACCGGAGAAUGUUAUCACGGGAGACACACGGCGGGUGCUAACGUCCGUCGUGAAGAGGGAAACAACCCAGACCGCCAGCUAAGGUCCCAAAGUCAUGGUUAAGUGGGAAACGAUGUGGGAAGGCCCAGACAGCCAGGAUGUUGGCUUAGAAGCAGCCAUCAUUUAAAGAAAGCGUAAUAGCUCACUGGUCGAGUCGGCCUGCGCGGAAGAUGUAACGGGGCUAAACCAUGCACCGAAGCUGCGGCAGCGACACUGUGUGUUGUUGGGUAGGGGAGCGUUCUGUAAGCCUGUGAA
This 811-nucleotide ribosomal RNA is filed under the name Salmonella enterica subsp. enterica serovar Enteritidis. RNAcentral describes it as "partial 23S ribosomal RNA". The stretch from base 131 to 811 matches the Rfam family "Bacterial large subunit ribosomal RNA", at positions 572 to 1254 of the family's 2925-position model. The record is from RNAcentral. Lineage: Bacteria; Pseudomonadati; Pseudomonadota; Gammaproteobacteria; Enterobacterales; Enterobacteriaceae.